GAUGAACGCUGGCGGCGUGCCUAAUACAUGCAAGUCGAGCGAACGGACGAGAAGCUUGCUUCUCUGAUGUUAGCGGCGGACGGGUGAGUAACAUGUGGAUAACCUACCUAUAAGACUGGGAUAACUUCGGGAAACCGGAGCUAAUCCCGGAUAAUAUUUUGAACCGUAUGGUUCAAAAGUGAAAGACGGUCUUGCUGUCACUUAUAGAUGGAUCCGCGCUGCAUUAGCUAGUUGGUAAGGUAACGGCUUACCAAGGCAACGAUGCAUAGCCGACCUGAGAGGGUGAUCGGCCACACUGGAACUGAGACACGGUCCAGACUCCUACGGGAGGCAGCAGUAGGGAAUCUUCCGCAAUGGGCGAAAGCCUGACGGAGCAACGCCGCGUGAGUGAUGAAGGUCUUCGGAUCGUAAAACUCUGUUAUUAGGGAAGAACAUAUGUGUAAGUAACUGUGCACAUCUUGACGGUACCUAAUCAGAAAGCCACGGCUAACUACGUG
RNAcentral lists this ribosomal RNA (497 nucleotides) under uncultured bacterium. RNAcentral's name for it is "partial 16S ribosomal RNA". It matches the Rfam family "Bacterial small subunit ribosomal RNA", at positions 28 to 507 of the family's 1533-position model. The record is from RNAcentral.